This 497-nucleotide ribosomal RNA is filed under the name uncultured bacterium. RNAcentral's name for it is "partial 16S ribosomal RNA". It matches the Rfam family "Bacterial small subunit ribosomal RNA", at positions 28 to 507 of the family's 1533-position model. The record is from RNAcentral.
GAUGAACGCUGGCGGCGUGCCUAAUACAUGCAAGUCGAGCGCACAGACUAGGUGCUUGCACCUCGCACAUGAGUGGCGAACGGGUGAGUAACACGUGGGUAACCUGCCUGGUAGAGGGGGAUAACUAUGGGAAACCGUAGCUAAUACCGGAUAACAGAUUAUAUCGCAUGGUAGCUUCUUGAAAGACGGUAAUGCACCAAUAUAUAGAUGGACCGCGUUGUAUUUGCCUAGUGGUGAAGUAAAGGCCCAACCAGGCAAAGAUACCUAGCCGACCUGAGAGGGGGAUCGGCCCCAAUGGGACUGGGACACCGCCCCGACUUCUACGGGAGGCAGCAGUAGGGAAUCUUCGGCCAUUGACCGAAGGCUGACCGGGCAACGCCGGGUUAGGGAAGAAGGUUUUCGGAUCCUAAAGCUCUUGUGUAAGGGAAGAACGAGUUUUGGAGGUGAAAGUGCACACUGUGACGGUAUCUUACCAGAAAGGCACGGCUAACUACGUG